Molecule: ribosomal RNA, 499 nt
Filed under: uncultured bacterium
Lineage: Bacteria
Description: partial 16S ribosomal RNA
Rfam family: Bacterial small subunit ribosomal RNA
Source: RNAcentral
GACGAACGCUGGCGGCGUGCCUAAUACAUGCAAGUCGAGCGGACUUUCAAGAAGCUUGCUUUUUGAAAGUUAGCGGCGGACGGGUGAGUAACACGUGGGCAACCUGCCUGCAAGACGGGGAUAACUCCGUGAAACCGGGGCUAAUACCGGAUAAUAUCUUCCUUCGCAUGAAGGAAGGUUGAAAGGCGGCGCAAGCUGCCGCUUGCAGAUGGGCCCGCGGCGCAUUAGCUAGUUGGUGAGGUAACGGCUCACCAAGGCGACGAUGCGUAGCCGACCUGAGAGGGUGAUCGGCCACACUGGGACUGAGACACGGCCCAGACUCCUGCGGGAGGCAGCAGUAGGGAAUCUUCCGCAAUGGACGAAAGUCUGAAGGAGCAACGCCGCGUGAGCGAAGAAGGUCUUCGGAUCGUAAAGCUCUGUUGUCAGGGAAGAACAAGUACCGUUCGAACAGGGCGGUACCUUGACGGUACCUGAACAGAAAGCCACGGCUAACUACGUG